UUCUAUUAAGGCCUUCAACUGAUUGAAUGAGGCCACAUUAUGAAGGGUAAUUUGCUUUACUCAGUCUACUGAUUUAAAUGUUUAUCUCAUCUAAAAAAUAUUUUUACAGGAGCUGGGAUGUAUCUAAGUAAUAGAGUACAUGCUUAGCAUGCACAAAGUCCUGGGUUAAAUCCCCAGCACCCCCCCCAAAAAAAAAAAUGUUCACAGAAACAUUUUGAAUAACAUUUGACCAAAUAUCUAUGUAUUGUGGUCUAGCCAAGUUGACAUAUAAAACUGAUCAUCACAGCAAGUUUCUGUUCUAUUUGCUUCUAGUUAGAUUCAUGUGACACACAAAGUUCUUUCCUAGAUUCUCAAGCUGAUGUACUUAUGUGCACCAUUAUCCCCUUGCCUUACUCUCAACGCAAUGGUGGCCACAUUGAAGCCAUGUGAAAUAAUAAGUAAGAAGGCCACACUCUUAACCUGAUAUUUGCCUUAGAUGUGAUCAUAUCUUUCAGCUCAUGUUUUUCAAAGCCUUUUCAAUCUUACCUUGUACUACUGUUGUCUAGAGGCAGUAACUUUUCCAAUCCUGAAAGGCCCAUGAUCUCCAAACUUUCUCUAUUCUCCUUACCUAUGCUUGAAAACCAGCUAAUUAUCACCUAAGCUCACCUCCUUUUUUAUACUACUUUAUGAAGACAUCUGUACUACUUAUUACAUGUUUGUCUCCAUAUCCACUUUUCUGCUCUCCUGUAUGAGAUACUGGAGCUGGGACUCUGCAAAUCACAUUUGGGCUGUCAGCCAAAUGUGACUUCAUUUGGCUAUGCCAAUAAAGGCCACUAGAGGGAGAUACCCCAGAGGAAGAAGAAGGGGCUUGCUCUUUAAAUUUGCUUCUUGUUCCUCUGAAGACCACUCUGGUGACACUCCUUCACCCUGGUGGCAGCAGGCCCUUCCUGUAUUAGCAAGUGAGUCCACCUUUGAAGUUUUUUUUUCCCCUAGCAAUUGUAGAACCAGCUCCAUGGCACCCCACUCAGAAACACCAGCAUGAACUAGAUAGUGUCAGGUUCUUCCAAGCUGAGAUCCUAGAUGUCGGUCCUAGACUUUGAAGUUUGAGUGUCAGCUCUGUAGAGCCCUCCUAAGUUUCGCAGUAUUAGUAAUUUCAUAACCUUCCCUUUGUUCUCCUAGCCCUAGGAGUUACAGAUGCUUCCUGCUGUCUGUUACUGCCCCCAUGAUAUUAAAAGGGUUUGUGUUUUAUUUAUUUAUUUACAAUUAAUCACUUUAUACUUAGUGAAUCAUUCUUUCCCUACUCCCACUGCUCCCAACCCUUGGUACUGGGUAUUUAACCCAGGGACCCUCUACCACUGAGCCACCUCCCCAACCCCUUUUAUUUUGAGACAGAUCUUGCUAAAUUACUGAGGCUGGCCCCAACUUGCAAUCAUCCUGCUUCAGCCCCCUGAGUGGCUAGGAUUACAGAUUUGGGUCACUGCACCCAGCAGAGUUAACCAUUCUUUACAUUAAAUUUUUAAAAUAUCUAUUUUUAGAACUUUAUUUAUUUACUUUUUAUGUGGUGCUGAGGAUUGAAACCAGGGCCUCACCUGUGCUAGGCAAGUGCUCUCCUACUGAGCUACAGCCCCAGCCCCCUAGAUUAUUUUUGUCAAUAAUUGGUAUGAUUUCUGUGGCAUUGACUAGACUUUGAUUGAUACAGAAAUUAGUACUAGGAUUGGCCCCAGGAAAUAAAUCCCAAAAGAUGAGAUUAGAAAACUGGCUUGGUUGGGUCAUCAGAUUUGAAUGUGCUAAGCUCCUUGUCAAUGAAAAAAUGUGAUUCUAUCAAUUCAUGGCAUGCCAUGGCAUUGUAAUUAAUCAAAUUAACACCUGUGGUUAUUUGUAAUGAAGUGCCAACUAAACCAAGUGCCUUGGGGACCCAUGUAGUUGUACUUGACAAUUAUGACAGUGAUCAUGACUAUAAGGACUAUGGUGUGGGACAGAUUCUUCUGACUACAUCAGGGUUCUUGCAAAAAGAAAAUGACAAACUUAGGUCUUGAAACUUUCAGCUCAAGUCACGAUCAGAGAACUGUAGGGAUUCCAAGUGUUAGGAGUUCAGGGAUACCAAGAUGGCAGAGGCAGGGUACAAGAAAAAUGCUGAUGAAGGAUAAGACAAGGAGAUGAGUCAUCAAGUCCCUGUUACAGUAAGUCCCAUUAACAUGACAACUCCUGCCACUGAGGACUUAUCACCUGUGAUAACUCCCACAACAAUUUUGGUAUUCUAAAAUAACCAAUAGGGGGCUGGGGAUGUGGCUCAAGCGGUAGCGCGCUCGCCUGGCAUGCGUGUGGCCCGGGUUCGAUCCUCAGCACCACAUACAAAGAUGUUGUGUCCGCAGAGAACUAAAAUAAAAUAAAUAUUAAAAUUCUCUCUCUCUCUCUCUCUCAUUUCUCUCUUAAAAUAAAUAAAUAAAUAAAAUAACCAAUAGGGGAAAAUUGGACAGUAUUCUAAUUAGGUACCAUAAAGUGACCAAUGGGAGCAAAUGGGGUGAGG
Molecule: long non-coding RNA, 2506 nt
Filed under: Marmota monax (woodchuck)
Lineage: Eukaryota; Metazoa; Chordata; Mammalia; Rodentia; Sciuridae
Source: RNAcentral